This 403-nucleotide ribosomal RNA is filed under the name uncultured bacterium. RNAcentral describes it as "partial 16S ribosomal RNA". It matches the Rfam family "Bacterial small subunit ribosomal RNA", at positions 30 to 526 of the family's 1533-position model. The record is from RNAcentral.
AUUGAACGCUGGCGGCAGGCCUAACACAUGCAAGUCGAGCGAGCGGCGGACGGGUGAGUACUGUAUGGGGACUGCCCGAUAGAGGGGGAUAAAUACUGGAAACGGUGGCUAAUACCGCAUACUGUCGGAUAGACCAUAUAGGAUUAGCUAGUAGGUAAGGUAAUGGCUUACUUAGGCGACGAUCCCUAGCUGGUCUGAGAGUAUUAUCAGCCACACUGGGCCUGAGACACGGCCCAGAAUCCUACGGAGGCAGCAGUGGGGAAUAUUGCAAAAUGGGCGCAAGCCUGAUGCAGCCAUGCCGCGUGUAUGAAGAAGGCCCGAGGGUUGUAAAGUACUUUCAGUCGGGAGGCGUUACCGACAGAAGAAGCACCGGCUAACUCCGUGCCAGCAGCCGCGGUAAUUC